GUGUGUGUGCGCUGCAUGGUGUUCGCAGGUCCGCGGUGUGCGCUGCAUGGACCCUAUGAGCAGGAGAAUGCACAGGGAGUUAUUCUGUGGGGCUCCUCUUAAUUAAUGAUUGGCGGGGAGGUGAUAUUUGCCGGGUGUGCACCAUUUAUGGAAUUAUCUGUUUUUCAGUGAGCGUGAAUUGGAAGAAGUCGUAACAUUUUACAUACUUAAAAAUAAAUCUGCCAGUGUCUUUGUGCGGACAGAGAACAGCGCCAACUGCAGAGAUCCAAGAGGACGGCAGAACAGUGAGUGAUAUUACAUUUAUGGCUUCUGAUACCAGUCUGCACAGCUUGUGCCCAGCUCCACCGGGCCAGCCUGCUCUCUCAUGUCAGUUUGUUCGCUCAGUAUCUGCCAUGCUCCCCGAUGCCAGUCUGCUCAAUAUCGGCCAUGCUCCCCGAUGCCAGUCUGCUCAGUAUUGGCCAUGCUCCCCGAUGUCAGCCUGCUCAGUAUCUGCCAUGCUCCCCGAUGUCAGUCUGAUCGCUUAGUAUCUGCCAUGCUCUCUCAUGUCAGUUUGUUCGCUCAGUAUCGGCCAUGCUCCCCCAUGCCAGUCUGCUCAGUAUCUGCCAUGCUCCCCCAUGCCAGUCUGCUCAGUAUCUGCCAUGCUCCCCGAUUUCAGUCUGCUCAGUAUCUGCCAUGCUCCCCGAUGCCAGUCUGCUCAGUAUCUGCCAUGCUCCCUUAUGUCAGUCUGCUCAGUGUCUGCCAUGCUCCCCGAUGCCAGUGUGCUCAGUAUCUGCCAUGCUCCCCGAUGUCAGUCUGCUCAGUAUCUGCCAUGCUCCCCGAUGUCAGUCUGCUCAGUAUCUGCCAUGCUCCCCGAUGUCAGUCUGCUCAGUAUCUGCUAUGCUCCCCGAUGUCAGUCUGCUCAGUAUCUGCUAUGCUCCCCGAUGCCAGUCUGCUCAGUAUCUGCCAUGCUCCCCGAUGCCAGUCUGCUCAGUAUCUGCCAUGCUCCCUUAUGUCAGUCUGCUCAGUGUCUGCCAUGAUCCCCGAUGCCAGUUCAAUGAGCUCAGUCACUGUGUUGGAUUUCAGGUAUCCCAGCCACUCGCUCAAACUCUGAGAAGCAGCCGCCAGUGUUGUCUAAUCGUUAUGCAAACUGCCGUCUCCCGGUAACGUAAUUUUCAAUGGUGGUAAUUGGUCUCCCAGGAUACAUUCUGCCGCACAGCUUCAUCGUCCCUGGAAUGUCCGCCAAUAGGUGCAAGAUGGGAUCUUUAUUUACAUUCCAAAAAAUAAAUAUAAUUGUUAAACCCUA
Molecule: non-coding RNA, 1282 nt
Organism: Pelobates cultripes (western spadefoot toad)
Lineage: Eukaryota; Metazoa; Chordata; Amphibia; Anura; Pelobatidae
Source: the annotation of a GenBank genome assembly